AGUACCGCUCUUCCUUUCUCUCUUGCUUUCUGUCUUGCUCUUAUAUUUAUAGUCACAGAUUUUUUCUUUUGUGUUUUCCUAUUCUGGUGGAGAUUUUUGAGCUAAAAUGGAAUAUUUGACUUUUUCCAAAAUUACGAUUCUUGCAUACACUAAUUAAUUAAAGGCAAGGAGGUAUUGCACGGUGUGCAAUAUAGCACAAAUCUCAGCCGCAUCUCAUUAUUUCAAAAAAAAAAAAAAAAACCUCUCACUUCUUCAGUCCUCUUCCCUCUGCUGCCACCGCCACCCUCAGUUUCUGCAUCUUACCCAAACCACAUCCGCAUGCCCACCUUCAUCUCUGCUCUGUCUCUCUUCUUUUUCUAGUUGACGAAGCGAACCUUCAACCGUUUCGUGGGUUUUGUGAAUCUUUGUUUUCUUCCUUCUCUAAACUUGCAUGUGAUACAUCUAUUCUGUUGGGUUUGCUGAAGAAGAAAGAAACAAUGAUGCUCUUGUAUAUGCUACCUAUCAGAUUUGUUACAUGUUUAUCACGGCAAGCAUGCAAGACCAAAUUAUGCAACAUUUUUGGAGAGACAUGUUGAUAGGGAUCAAGCUAAACAUAUCCACUUUGAUAAGGAGAUGAAGAUGAAGUUUAAGUCCCAUGUAUUUCAAUAUUAGUUUAGAUCGGGUUUAAUAAGCUUUAUCUAGCUUAUAAUGUUGGGUAGAUUCUCAUAGAAUGCUUAUCAAUUGCUUGUAAUGUUGAUUUAUAUUCAGCCACGUGGAAUAAAUAAUGUUUGAUUAGUUCAUUAACUUUUGUGAACCAUUUAAAACACAAGAUUUGAGCUCCUAUUGUAUAGACCCCUGUUAUCAUUUUGGUGUUACAUAGUUGUUCUAUUGUUGCGUGUUAAUGAACCCUUUCUGAGAGUCAUGGAAGUCA
Quercus lobata is the source of this 910-nucleotide long non-coding RNA. RefSeq lists it as uncharacterized. The transcript has 2 exons. Lineage: Eukaryota; Viridiplantae; Streptophyta; Magnoliopsida; Fagales; Fagaceae. The record is from RefSeq and is a predicted model, not a curated record.